GGGGGCGUAGCUCAGUUGGGAGAGCGCUUGGCUCGCAUUCAAGAGGUCAUGGGUUCGAAUCCCACCGUCUCCACCA
This 76-nucleotide transfer RNA is filed under the name Propionispora vibrioides. Its description in RNAcentral is "tRNA_Ala_CGC". It matches the Rfam family "tRNA". Rfam says of the family: Transfer RNA (tRNA) molecules are approximately 80 nucleotides in length. Their secondary structure includes four short double-helical elements and three loops (D, anti-codon, and T loops). The record is from RNAcentral. Lineage: Bacteria; Bacillati; Bacillota; Negativicutes; Selenomonadales; Sporomusaceae.